AGGGUUUGAUCAUGGCUCAGGAUAAACGCUGGCGGCGUGCCUAACACAUGCAAGUCGAACGUCCUUUCGCGCAAGCGAGAGGGAGUGGCGGACGGGUGAGGAACACGUGGGUACCUACCCUAAAGUGAGGAAUACCGGCGAGAAAUCGCCGACAACACCGCAUAGCUUUCUCGGAUUGGGAAAGAAAACCGCUUUGGUGGUGCUUUAGGAUGGGCCUGCGCCCGAUUAGCUAGUUGGUGGGGUAAGAGCUUACCAAGGCGUCGAUCGGUAGCUGGUCUGAGAGGAUGAUCAGCCACACUGGGAUUGAGAACGGCCCAGACUCCUACGGGGGGCAGCAGUGAGGAAUUUUCCGCAAUGGACGAGAGUCUGACGGAGCAACGCCGCGUGCAGGAGGACGGUUUUCGGAUCGUAAACUGCUUUUCUUGGGGACGAGAACGGACGGUACCCAAGGAAGAAGCCCCGGCUAACUACGUGCCAGCAGCCGCGGUAAUACGUAGGGGGCGAGCGUUGUCCGGAGUUACUGGGCGUAAAGGGCAUGCAGGCGGUCGUCUGCGUCGGCAGUGACAGCUCCCGGCUUAACUGGGAGAGCGGUGCCGAAACGGGACGACUUGAGGGCCAGAGAGGGACAGGGAACUCCGGGUGGAGUGGUGAAAUGCGUAGAUAUCCGGAAGAACACCAAAGGCGAAGGCACUGUCCUGGAUGGCACCUGACGCUCAUGUGCGAAAGCUAGGGGAGCGAACGGGAUUAGAUACCCCGGUAGUCCUAGCCGUAAACGAUGACCACUAGGCGUGUGGGGUAUCGACCCCCUACGUGCCGACUCUAACGAAAUAAGUGGUCCGCCUGGGGAGUACGGUCGCAAGAUUAAAACUCAAAGGAAUUGACGGGGACCCGCACAAGCAGCGGAGCGUGUGGUUUAAUUCGAUGCAACGCGAAGAACCUUACCAGGGUUUGACAUGUAGGCGAUCAUCCUAGAGAUAGGACUCCCUUCGGGGCGCCUGCACAGGUGCUGCAUGGCUGUCGUCAGCUCGUGCCGUGAGGUGUUGGGUUAAGUCCCGCAACGAGCGCAACCCCUGUCGUCGGUUACUGGUGUCCGACGAGACUGCCGCGAUCAACGUGGAGGAAGGUGGGGAUGACGUCAAGUCAGCACGGCCCUUACAUCCUGGGCGACACACACGCUACAAUGGCUGGGACAAAGAGACGCCAACCCGUGAGGGGGAGCCAAUCUCACAAACCCGGUCUCAGUUCAGAUUAGAGGCUGCAACCCGCCUCUAUGAAGUUGGAGUUGCUAGUAACCGUAGGUCAGCACACUACGGUGAAUACGUUCCCGGGUCUUGUACACACCGCCCGUCACACCACGAAAGUCGGCAACCCCUGAAGCCGCUGGGCUAACUCGCGAGAGAGGCACGCGUCGAGGGUGGGGUCGGUGAUUGGGGUGAAGUCGUAACAAGGUAGCC
RNAcentral lists this ribosomal RNA (1454 nucleotides) under uncultured bacterium. RNAcentral describes it as "bacterial SSU rRNA". It matches the Rfam family "Bacterial small subunit ribosomal RNA". The record is from RNAcentral.